ACUCAAAUGAAUUGACGGGGGCCCGCACAAGCGGAGGAACAUGUGGUUUAAUUCGAUGAUACGCGAGGAACCUUACCUGGGUUUGAACGUAGUUUGACCGGCUCGGAAACGGGUCUUCCCUUCGGGGCAAAUUACGAGGUGCUGCAUGGUUGUCGUCAGCUCGUGCCGUGAGGUGUCGGAUUAAGUUCCAUAACGAGCGCAACCCUUAUCAUUAGUUGCCAUCGGGUCAUGCCGGGGACUCUAGUGAAACUGCCGGUGUAAACCGUGAGGAAGGUGGGGAUGACGUCAAAUCAGCACGGCCCUUACAUCCAGGGCCACACACGUGUUACAAUGGCCAGUACAGCGGGCAGCUACUUCGCGAGAAGAUGCUAAUCUCGAAAACUGGUCUCAGUUCGGAUUGGAGUCUGCAACUCGACUCCAUGAAGCUGGAUUCGCUAGUAAUCGCGCAUCAGCCACGGCGCGGUGAAUACGUUCCCGGGCCUUGUACACACCGCCCGU
Molecule: ribosomal RNA, 498 nt
Filed under: uncultured bacterium
Lineage: Bacteria
Description: partial 16S ribosomal RNA
Rfam family: Bacterial small subunit ribosomal RNA
Source: RNAcentral